ACCAACAUUUGCUGAUUAGAUUUUUUUUCAUAAAACAGCGGCUGGAAUAAGAAAAUUACUUUCUAGUAGUUGUCGAUUGUGGAGGUGAAAACACAUCUGUUUGGAUCGAAAUUUCUUAAAGCUUGUUUUGUGAUAUAUAUUAAGAGUUCAAAGAAAAUAAAAUAUCAUAAAUUUUAUAGUCUUGCAAGUGAUACACAAAACGUUUUGCAUGUGCUUCCGAAUUUACAUUAUUUUUGAACUAGCUGCAGUCUGGAUCACCUUACACAACCCAACAAUGCAGACCAAAAUGUAAACGAUGUUCAGGGGACGGGAGAAUCCAUUGAAAAGAAGUUUUUUAAUUUAACGCUCUUAAAAGUGAUAAUAAAUUCGGUUUUGGCGCUCAAUGGCUUCGAAAUGAACUUAAAAUAAUGAGAUGAUAUCAGGAAUGAGUUAUUAGAUCGGUAAUGAUAGCAAAUAUGUUAUAGUUUAAACAGACGCCAAUCAACCAUCUUCGAAGUUUGCAGUAUAAAACGACUGAAAACCCUCUAUUCAACUACAACUAUGUAACAAGCAAACUGAACAAAAAAUUCUACACUUUGUACUUAAAAUCUACAAAACAUCGAUAUUGUGCAAACAUACAUUACAAUAAAACAAUAAAAAAAUACUGGAACUGCUUUUCGUUUGUCAAUAAACGGUUUCUUCCAUAGUCUUGUUCUACCUAUGUUUUUACAUAAGCGAGCGAGGCAUGCUUAAAAUUCAAUAGAAUUCCAAUGAACAUAUGUAAUAAACACAAAACAUUUAAAUAAAUAAUUGAAAGGGGAACGAAUAAAACAACUAGGGAAAAUAAGCUUUGUGGCAACAUACCUUAUGCUCACAGCCACGUAUAUUUUAUAUAUGUCGCGUACGAUAAAAAGGAAAAAUAAAGCGAAUUAGUACUUUCAUCAU
This is a long non-coding RNA of Hermetia illucens (black soldier fly), 924 nucleotides long. RefSeq lists it as uncharacterized. NCBI's taxonomy places the organism in Eukaryota, Metazoa, Arthropoda, Insecta, Diptera, Stratiomyidae. The transcript has 2 exons. The record is from RefSeq and is a predicted model, not a curated record.